This is a transfer RNA of Babesia microti strain RI, 72 nucleotides long. It matches the Rfam family "tRNA". Rfam says of the family: Transfer RNA (tRNA) molecules are approximately 80 nucleotides in length. Their secondary structure includes four short double-helical elements and three loops (D, anti-codon, and T loops). The record is from Rfam. NCBI's taxonomy places the organism in Eukaryota, Apicomplexa, Aconoidasida, Piroplasmida, Babesiidae.
GGGCCUGUGGCGCAACGGUAGCGCGUCUGACUCCAAAUCAGAAGGUUGCGGGUUCGAUUCCCUCCGGGCUCA